Molecule: ribosomal RNA, 301 nt
Filed under: uncultured bacterium
Lineage: Bacteria
Description: partial 16S ribosomal RNA
Rfam family: Bacterial small subunit ribosomal RNA
Source: RNAcentral
CAGUAGCCGCGGUAAUACGAAGGGUGCAAGCGUUACUCGGAAUUACUGGGCGUAAAGCGUGCGCAGGUGGUGGUUUAAGUCCGUUGUGAAAGCCCUGGGCUCAACCUGGGAAUUGCAGUGGAUACUGGGUCACUAGAGUGUGGUAGAGGAUAGUGGAAUUUCCGGUGUAGCAGUGAAAUGCGUAGAGAUCGGGAGGAACAUCAGUGGCGAAGGCGGCCAUCUGGGACAACACUGACGCUGAAGCACGAAAGCGUGGGGAGCAAACAGGAUUAGAGACCCCUGUAGUCCCUGUCUCUUAUAA